GAAAUGCGAUACGUAAUGUGAAUUGCAAAUUCAGUGAAUCAUCGAGUCUUUGAACGCACAUUGCGCCCCCUGGUAUUCCGGGGGGCAUGCCUGUCCGAGCGUCAUUUCUGCCCUCAAGCACGGCUUGUGUGUUGGGCCCCGUCCUCCGAUCCCGGGGGACGGGCCCGAAAGGCAGCGGCGGCACCGCGUCCGGUCCUCGAGCGUAUGGGGCUUUGUCACCCGCUCUGUAGGCCCGGCCGGCGCUUGCCGAUCAACCCAAAUUUUUAUCCAGGUUGACCUCGGAUCAGGUAGGGAUACCCGCUGAACUUAGGC
This 312-nucleotide unclassified non-coding RNA is filed under the name plant metagenome. Its description in RNAcentral is "partial contains 5.8S ribosomal RNA, internal transcribed spacer 2, and large subunit ribosomal RNA". The stretch from base 1 to 104 matches the Rfam family "5.8S ribosomal RNA", at positions 50 to 154 of the family's 154-position model. The record is from RNAcentral.